GGUAAUUGAAGAGAUUCGUUACAUGUCAAUUCAAAGGUCAGCCAUUGGAAAAGUGAGCUCUCAGCGCAUUUUAAGCAAUAAAACAGUGACCUUCCCGGCGCACAAUAGCAAGAUGCGAUUUCCGCCGGAAAUGGCCAGACGCGGGCGAAAUGCAGCUCCGACGACCACAAUAACUCAUCCCCAGCUCGUCACCCCUGCUCAUGGUGUCACUACGACACUCGAACCCCUGACAUUUGGG
RNAcentral lists this long non-coding RNA (238 nucleotides) under Nicotiana benthamiana. RNAcentral describes it as "long non-coding RNA (NBEN_LNC042608)". The record is from RNAcentral. Lineage: Eukaryota; Viridiplantae; Streptophyta; Magnoliopsida; Solanales; Solanaceae.